CACCAGACAGAGAUAAGAAAAGCUAGACCUCCCCUCUCAGAUAGAGAUGGAAAACAGCACAGAAAAGCCUCAACACUCCAAGAAAAACAAGAAGAAGGGGGCAGAUUUGGAUACAUUUUAUGUAGCAAAAAUACAAAAUACAGAGGAGAUAGAAGAGGAAACACAAGCAAAUGCUCCGAAACCUUCCAAAGUAAAUGGAAACUCUCCACAAACCCAUGAAGAAUUUGAAUCGGAAAUGAUCAAAAAGAUGGAAGCCUUCUGGGAGGAAAAGUGGGAAAUAAAGCAAAAGAAAUUCACGCAUCUACAAAACCAGUUUGACCAAAGUGAAAAGGAAAACCAGGCUUUAAAAGUCAGAAUCAGCCAACUGGAAGAAAAUGAGCAAGAAUUAAUAAAGCAAAGCCAAAAGACCAAGAAAUUAGAAGAGAACAUAAAAUAUCUCACCGACAAGGUCAUAGACUUGGAAAAUAGAGGGAGAAGAGACAAUUUAAGAAUAAUUGGACUCCCAGAAAAGCCAGAAAUAAACAGCAAACUCGACAUCGUAAUACAAGAGAUAAUCAAAGAAAAUUGUCCAGAGAUUCUAGAACAAGGGGGCAAUACAGCCACUGAAAGAGUUCACAGAACACCCUCUACACUAAAUCCCCAAAAGACGACUCCCAGGAAAAGUAAUUGCCAAAUUCCAAAGCUUUCAAGCAAAAGAAAAAAUCUUACAAGAAGCCAGAAAAAGACAAUUUAGAUAUAAAGGAAUGCCAAUCAGGGUCACACAAGACCUUGCAAGUUCCACUCUGAAUGACCAUAAAGCAUGGAACAUGAUUUUCAGAAAGGCAAGAAAGCUGGGCCUUCAACCAAGAAUCAGCUACCCAUCAAAACUGACUAUAUACUUCCAAGGGAAAGUAUGGGCAUUCAACAAAAUAGAAGAUUUCCAAGUUUUUGCAAAGAAAAGACCAGAGCUCUGUGGAAAGUUCGAUAUCGAAAAACAAAGAGCAUGGAAUACCUGAAAAGGUAAAUAUAAAGGAAAGGGAA
Molecule: long non-coding RNA, 1020 nt
Filed under: Monodelphis domestica (gray short-tailed opossum)
Lineage: Eukaryota; Metazoa; Chordata; Mammalia; Didelphimorphia; Didelphidae
Description: lncRNA (ENSMODG00000044271.1)
Source: RNAcentral